CGGUGGCCAUAGCGGAGAGGUAAUACCCGUUCCCAUCCCGAACACGGAAGUCAAGCUCUCUUGCGCCAAUGAUACUGCAUUCGUGGGAAAGUAGGUAGCUGCCGG
RNAcentral lists this ribosomal RNA (105 nucleotides) under Candidatus Treponema excrementipullorum. Lineage: Bacteria; Pseudomonadati; Spirochaetota; Spirochaetia; Treponematales; Treponemataceae. The record is from RNAcentral.